AUGACCAGACAAAUGAAGAAAUACAAGCACUUGCCUGACUCACAGAGACACAGAUUUAUAUUGAUCAAAGUGCCAAGCCUCUAGCUUGUCACUCUGAGAAGCACAAUGGGUCAUGAUCAAGAGCGGAGCAGGAAUGCUUAAGGCCUGCCACCUCAGGAAAGCUCUUUACCCAUAUAGUUGGUUCCUCUUUCACACAUGAUGAUCAGUUCAGAGUUCAGGGGCAAGAACUAUGUACUUGGGUGGCUGGACCUUCAUCAAGGGUACUUCACAAAGAUUUCUGUAAAGGCACUGGAUUCUGGAGAAAAAUUACAGUUAGUCUCAAGAGGAACAGCCCGUUGCUGCGUCAUUCUGUUGUAUCUGUAGGGCUGGCCAGAAAGGCACCGUUUUUGCAACUCCCACCUACGGAUGGGAUGCAGAACCCAGCCAAACACAAAAUCACUCAUUAGAUUCCAGGUGCACGGGGGGAUGGGGAUGGACAAUUCAUCCUCUGGCUUUAUUACUGGCAUUAGCCUGUCUGGGCAUAUUAGCUAUCAUACACCAUCUACCUGUGUGAGUUUCUGCAAGACCUGCUCCCUGCAUUUCUGGCUAAUUUCCACCUGGCCUGGAAGGGCGGGGCCCUGUCUCUCUCCAGCUACAAAAGCAGCAACUGCUGAAGGGGCCAGAGACCGUGUGUGUGUAUGUGUGCGUGAACCUGCUGCUCGGGAUGUCUAUAGACUACUGGGGUUAGUUGUUUUUUAGUUGUUUUGGGGGUCAAGAUUUAAUUUUGGAGAUUCAUUUUUGCUGUUAUUUGGACUAUAGCAUAUUUUUGUUAAACACUGUUGUGAAGU
Molecule: long non-coding RNA, 827 nt
Organism: Rhineura floridana
Lineage: Eukaryota; Metazoa; Chordata; Lepidosauria; Squamata; Rhineuridae
Exons: 3
Source: RefSeq, a predicted model, not a curated record